GGAGGCAGAUCAUUGUUUCUGCCAUGUUCUAGGGGAGGCAGGACCACGAAGAAUGUUCUCCUCCAAACCCAGUGGAGUUUACUGUUUCUUAGCGUCUUUAUCCUGAUCUGGCACCUUCUAUGCUGUUGAGAUGUUUCUUGCCUCCCCCACUGCACCGUAAGUGCCAAGAAGACACAGCCUGUCCCUUUUUGGCUGUUCUACCCAAGUUUCUGGCAUCGUGCCUGGAAUAUAGGAAUGUUCAACAGAUGUGAAAGAAUAAAUUCAUGAAUGCAUUCUGUGUAUCCAGAUGUGGCAGAGAGAAUCAUGGAUCGAGUAAGUGAUAAAGUGCACCUUUGGAAAGGCACUUUGAAUGCUUUUAUGAAUAUUAGAGAUGAAAAAUAUCCUCUAGUAUGUCUUGAAGUAAUGGCAGUAUAUAAAUCAAAUAUACUCAAUCUGCUAUUUUUAUCUUCCUAGAUUAAAUAUAAUGUAUUAGAAAUAAGAGUCCAUUCUACUUUGCUAUUCUAAAUAAGUGAGAGACUCUUGGGGGUAGUGCAACUAUAAUUAUGAGAACAGAAUUCAGCUGAAAUGCUAUAAAGACACUAUAUGAAUGUGUAGAAAAGGCUAAACUUGUGUUCAUAGCUCUCAUGUCAAAUUAAGAGGCUCACUUUGUUUGGUUUUCCAUCUUGACUAACUUAUUGAUUAACCAUGAGCUAUAGUAACUUACAAAGUGCUUUAUGUUUGUGAUCAUUGUGUAGGUUAAUUAUUAUUGUCUUUGCAUUUCUUGGAUAUAAAGAAAAGUUGAUAGUCUCUUUUUGAAAAAUCCCAGUUUCAGGAUCAGUAAGUAACAUAUCGGAGAUAGCAUUUUUCAUGGUCUUCCAGGUUUUUAUUAGUUCCUAUUAAUUCCUCAAGUCUCUGUUGUCAUUAAUACCCAGUAGGAAAUCACUAAGCACUGAAGGACCAGGAUCCGUGGCUUGGUUUUUUAGGUUCUGUUUAUGGACCUUGUGUAAAACCCUGGACUGUAGGUCCGAUCUAGAUUGCCACUGAGUAUGGCCCCUAGGGGGUGCACUGAAACCCCCAAACUACUGUAGAGAAAAAAUAUCCCUUCUCUUCCUUGUUUUGCAGACAUUGGAUUAGUUUUGUAAAAGGGAGAAAAUCAGAGGGAAACUUUAAAAAAUUUCAAAAAAGCAAAAUUUCAAAAAAGCAAAGAAAUAUAUUUACAGUAUAUAGUUUACUGAUUUAAAGUAUAUCUAUGGGUGAGUUUGAGUAGUGUGAUUGAGAUCAGGUAUGGCAAAUUCAUGGCACACAAGAUGUAAGUUCACCCUCCCCACGGUCAUGUCAGAUAGAACUAAUCCACUUUAGAGUCUCUGCAUAAAGUGACUCCAUGGCCAAGAUGAGACUUGUCUGCAAUCACUGGCUUAUGUCAUCAUGAGAUCUUUUCAUUUGUUAUAACCUAAGCCUCCCAAAACCUGCUUCCUAGGUCGGUCCCUGGUCCGAGGCUGUUCUGCUGCUCUGCACCUGCCUCUUGAGGUGUGAAGGACAGACAGACAGACAUGUGCAUCAGACUUCAUGUAGUGAGGAAUCUGGGGAUUCAGAGGUCCUUUGCUGUCAGGUGUCUGUUUUGCUCUCACCUAAGAGAUUUCUGUGGCUCUAAGUCCUCAUAAGCCCCACCUCCAAACCAUUCCUCUUGGCCCAUUUCGGUGAAUCUGUACUCAGCAGGUGUCAGACAUGGGAUUAGAGUUUCAAAAACACUCUGUUUCAAGGUUCGAGUCCCCUUCUGUCUCCAUUUAGGCUGGGCCGGUAGUGGAGAUCGGAUCACAGCGGCCUUAUAUACCAUGAAGGGGACUUGAGGUUUUAUCUUGUAGGUACUCAAUAAAUGCUUUUGAAUGAAUGAAUAAUGAGUCAACGUGGUGCCUAAAAAGAGAACGAUACAUGUGGAACUUGGUUUCUGAGUCACAUGACUGGAUGGAUGAUGGUUUUGUUCACCUCAAUAGGUAAUGUUGGAAGAGGAACAGCUUUGAAGAAGAAUUUAAUGCGUUGGGUUUGGGCACACGGAGUUUGAGGUGUCUUUGAGCUGUCAAGGUAGAGAUGUCCUCUGGGCCAUUAGAGGUGUGGGCCUGAAGCUUUAGCAGGAAGGUCGUCCAGGAGAUAGAUUUAGGAGAACUCAGCGCACAUAAGUUAGGUGAAUCCAUGUAUGUAAGUAAGUUCAGAAGACAGUAGAGACAACGGCUUAGUCAGCUCUGGCUGCUGUUAGUGAUUGCCGCAGACUGGGUGGCUUAAACAGUGGGAAUUUAUUUCUCACAGUUCUGGAUGCUGGCAGAUCCAGGGUCUGGUGAAGGUUUGCUUCCCAGCUGGCAGGCAGACAUCUUCCCGUUGUAUUCUCGCCUGGUGGAGCGAGGGCGAGACUGCGUGGUAUCCCUCUUUCUCUUCCUUUAAUACCGGUAAUCCCAUCAUGGGGGCGCUACUCUUAGGAGACCUGGUUACCUCCGAAAGGCCUCACCUCCUAAUACUAUCUUAUUGGGGGUUAGGAUUUCAGCAUAUGAAUUUAGGGGGUACACAGACAUGCAGUCUCUAAUAGAACCCUAAAAAAUAGCAGCAUUUUAGGAUGGCCCAAAGAAAGAGAACCUAAAGAGGACACAGAAGUGACAGAGGCAAACUAGAAGGGCCAGUGUCUGAACAUCCAAGAGACCCUCCUUCUGGUGGAAGUGAUCCAGCCCUCAGGGCAUGCAGGCAAGAUGGCCAUACUCUGAACUCAGGGAAAGUUCAAACCCAUCUGGGCUCAGAUUCUCUACCCUCUAACCCACCACCCCUGCCUCUUCUCUUAAGAGAGUAGUCGGUCAUUCAGAAUGCUAUCAUAAUUUUACAUUCCCCCAGUAAUAGGAACCCACAGCCUGUAAUUUCCUUCCAGAGAUGAGGUUUGGUAUGUCUUUAUAAAGCCCAUCUAACACAUUUUUUAUAACUAAAAAAAAAAAAAAUAGAUAACACCUCAGUCAUUUUAAUUAAAAAAA
This is a long non-coding RNA of Pteropus alecto (black flying fox), 2984 nucleotides long. RefSeq lists it as uncharacterized. The record is from RefSeq and is a predicted model, not a curated record. The transcript is spliced from 2 exons. NCBI's taxonomy places the organism in Eukaryota, Metazoa, Chordata, Mammalia, Chiroptera, Pteropodidae.